This 454-nucleotide ribosomal RNA is filed under the name uncultured Porphyromonadaceae bacterium. RNAcentral describes it as "partial 16S ribosomal RNA". It matches the Rfam family "Bacterial small subunit ribosomal RNA", at positions 341 to 792 of the family's 1533-position model. Lineage: Bacteria; Pseudomonadati; Bacteroidota; Bacteroidia; Bacteroidales; Porphyromonadaceae. The record is from RNAcentral.
ACGGGAGGCAGCAGUGAGGAAUAUUGGUCAAUGGACGGAAGUCUGAACCAGCCAAGUCGCGUGAAGGAAGACGGUUCUAUGGAUUGUAAACUUCUUUUGCCUGAGGGUAAAGGCCGGUACGUGUACCGGUUUGCAAGUAUCAGGUGAAUAAGCAUCGGCUAACUCCGUGCCAGCAGCCGCGGUAAUACGGAGGAUGCGAGCGUUAUCCGGAUUUAUUGGGUUUAAAGGGUGCGUAGGCGGGAUGUUAAGUCAGCGGUGAAAGUUUGCGGCUCAACCGUAAAAUUGCCGUUGAAACUGGCGUUCUUGAGUGUAAACGAGGUAGGCGGAAUGUGACGUGUAGCGGUGAAAUGCUUAGAUAUGUCACAGAACCCCGAUUGCGAAGGCAGCUUACCAGCAUACAACUGACGCUGAGGCACGAAAGCGUGGGUAUCAAACAGGAUUAGAUACCCUGGUA